UCUCCGUAGGUGAACCUGCGGAAGGAUCAUUAUUGUAUAACCGAGGUGCGAGGGCUGUCGCUGACCCGAAAGGUCGUGCACGCCCGAGUGCCCUCACACACAUCCAUCUCACCCCUAUGUGCACCACCGCGUGGGUCCCCCUUUGGCUUGUUCGGAGGGGGGCUUACGUUUUCACACAAACUUUGUAUGCAGUGUAGAAUGUAUUUUUUGUUUUUGCGAUCACGCAAUCAAUACAACUUUCAACAACGGAUCUCUUGGCUCUCGCAUCAAUGAAGAACGCAGC
This 283-nucleotide unclassified non-coding RNA is filed under the name plant metagenome. Its description in RNAcentral is "partial contains small subunit ribosomal RNA, internal transcribed spacer 1, and 5.8S ribosomal RNA". The stretch from base 235 to 283 matches the Rfam family "5.8S ribosomal RNA", at positions 1 to 49 of the family's 154-position model. The record is from RNAcentral.